RNAcentral lists this ribosomal RNA (253 nucleotides) under uncultured bacterium. RNAcentral describes it as "partial 16S ribosomal RNA". It matches the Rfam family "Bacterial small subunit ribosomal RNA", at positions 524 to 776 of the family's 1533-position model. The record is from RNAcentral.
UACGUAGGGUGCAAGCGUUGUCCGGAUUUAUUGGGCGUAAAGAGCUCGUAGGCGGUCUGUCGCGUCGGAUGUGAAAACCCAGGGCUCAACCCUGGGCCUGCAUUCGAUACGGGCAGACUAGAGUUCGGCAGGGGAGACUGGAAUUCCUGGUGUAGCGGUGAAAUGCGCAGAUAUCAGGAGGAACACCGGUGGCGAAGGCGGGUCUCUGGGCCGAUACUGACGCUGAGGAGCGAAAGCGUGGGGAGCGAACAGG